Molecule: long non-coding RNA, 217 nt
Organism: Juglans microcarpa x Juglans regia
Lineage: Eukaryota; Viridiplantae; Streptophyta; Magnoliopsida; Fagales; Juglandaceae
Exons: 3
Source: RefSeq, a predicted model, not a curated record
UCAACUUCUCCAGACAAAACAAGCACAUGGAAACCACAACAGAGAAUACUAGAUCAGUGACAACAUAAACUAAGGCCCAAAACUGAAGAGAAAAAAGUACACACAAGAAAAGAGUCGAAAGAAAGAAAAAAAAACACACACACACAGAGAUACUCUCCCAACCGUAGACGAAGAACCUUAAAGUUUCGUUUGAAAACACAACUCAUCUCAACUCAUC